GUUGUACUUCCUCCGUUCAACAAGAUGUCUCAACGUUGACUAAAUUUGAAUGCAUUUAUACAUUAAAUCAUUUUAGAUACAUCCAAAUUUUGAUAAAUUUGAGACUUUUUUGUUCGACGGAGAAAGUACUUG
Brachypodium distachyon (stiff brome) is the source of this 132-nucleotide non-coding RNA. Lineage: Eukaryota; Viridiplantae; Streptophyta; Magnoliopsida; Poales; Poaceae. The record is from Rfam.